GGGGUUGUGGCUCAGUGAUAGAGUGCUUGCUUAGCAUGCAUGAGGCACUGGGUUCAAUCCUCAACACCA
This 69-nucleotide transfer RNA is filed under the name Marmota marmota marmota (Alpine marmot). It matches the Rfam family "tRNA". From Rfam's summary of the family: Transfer RNA (tRNA) molecules are approximately 80 nucleotides in length. Their secondary structure includes four short double-helical elements and three loops (D, anti-codon, and T loops). Further hydrogen bonds mediate the characteristic L-shaped molecular structure. tRNAs have two regions of fundamental functional importance: the anti-codon, which is responsible for specific mRNA codon recognition, and the 3' end, to which the tRNAs corresponding amino acid is attached (by aminoacyl-tRNA synthetases). tRNAs cope with the degeneracy of the genetic code in two manners: having more than one tRNA (with a specific anti-codon) for a particular amino acid; and 'wobble' base-pairing, i.e. permitting non-standard base-pairing at the 3rd anti-codon position. RNAcentral also lists the same sequence under 1 other name. The record is from Rfam by way of RNAcentral. Lineage: Eukaryota; Metazoa; Chordata; Mammalia; Rodentia; Sciuridae.